RNAcentral lists this ribosomal RNA (354 nucleotides) under Triticum aestivum (bread wheat). Its description in RNAcentral is "partial small subunit ribosomal RNA". The record is from RNAcentral. Lineage: Eukaryota; Viridiplantae; Streptophyta; Magnoliopsida; Poales; Poaceae.
AUGGCUGGAAUCAACAUUACCAAGACCGGCGGUGGGUUUUCCAUCAGCAAGCCAAAGGCUGGUGCUCGCCCCAAGCCGACUCCUGUGGCCAGGGCUGCCGAGCUCCUAGUGUGCCGCAGCUUGGGUAUCGUCAAAGACGGAGAAGACGUCAUUGUUGCUGCGUUGGAUGCAUUUGCAGAUCGCUUCAAGGAUCAGCUGUCGCCGGAUGUGAUCGUGGCCAUGCGUGGGCUGUUCAAGCUUGAUGACAGCAGCGCGACGGAUGUCGAGGAGGCCCUCAUAGCACACGGAGGGGGAUGUGCCCUUGACCUGGAGCAGAAUGACACCGGCGCCGCGGCGCAGCAGGAGGCUAGCUGA